This 909-nucleotide long non-coding RNA is filed under the name Dermacentor andersoni. Its description in RNAcentral is "uncharacterized LOC126520747". Lineage: Eukaryota; Metazoa; Arthropoda; Arachnida; Ixodida; Ixodidae. The record is from RNAcentral.
AUGAAAUGCCGGCGUAUAUAUAUUUUGAACAUUUGACAUAACCCUGUAUGUUUUGUAAGGACAACCCAGGACGUGCAUUUCUCAGCACCCAGUCAACUGCCAGAAGUGACUUAAACACAGGCCACCAGUGGCACUCAGCUGUACCACUGCAGUGCUGCAGAAAUUGCCAGCAUCAGCGGCUUUGCAACAGCUGUUUCACAGCAUGUCGGAGACAAUGCCUACGAAAUUAUUGGCCCUGAUGACGAGAGCCCUCAAGGGGCAAACGACAUCUCUGUUGCAGAAGUGAGCCCGAUACCACCUGAAGUUACCAUGACAGAUGACACGGCAGCAAUAGAUACAGAGACUGCCAUGUCUACUGCAGCUGCAACAGUGUACGAGGCAAGCAGCAGCACGUCAGCAUCAGCAGCAGUGUCAGAAGGAACCGUACCAGGCCUGGUAGAGCAACACGUGUGCAAUCACUGACUUUUUUUGUAGUGCAUACAACUCAUUUGCUCAACAUACAAAAGCUUUUCACCACGACUGUGAGCCAGUGUUCUUGUGCAGCAAGUGCAAGACUAGGUUAGGUGUUAUAACACAGUACAAGCAUCACGUUAAGAUAUACAAAUGCAAACAUAUUAAAGUUGUUGCCUCCCCAGCCAGCUCACAUAGCGACAACAAUAUGGAACACAUGGUAGGACACACCUCUCCUCUAUUAGAAGAUAGUAGAGACUGUCACUGUUGUUGCUGUAUUGACUGGUAUUUGUAAGCAGCUAGAAGGACAACGCAGGUGUCAUAAGAUUGUUGUUGACGUUGUUGUUGAAGAGGUAAAAAAGAAGUUUGAUGCAGCUGAAGUGCCAACUGAUAUUGAGCAAAUCAAAAGCAACCACCUGAGAAAGCAACACUAUCGAUAUUUGGGUAUCUAUGUGCCGC